This 253-nucleotide ribosomal RNA is filed under the name uncultured bacterium. RNAcentral describes it as "partial 16S ribosomal RNA". It matches the Rfam family "Bacterial small subunit ribosomal RNA", at positions 524 to 776 of the family's 1533-position model. The record is from RNAcentral.
UACGGAGGGUGCAAGCGUUAUCCGGAAUCACUGGGUUUAAAGGGUGCGUAGGCGGCUUGAUAAGUCAGGGGUGAAAGCCCGCAGCUUAACUGCGGAACUGCCUUUGAUACUGUCGAGCUUGAAAGAGGUUGAGGUCAGCGGAACGUGACAUGUAGCGGUGAAAUGCAUAGAGAUGUCAUAGAACACCGAUUGCGGAGGCAGCUGGCUGGACCUACUUUGACGCUGAGGCACGAAAGCGUGGGGAGCGAACAGG